This 623-nucleotide unclassified non-coding RNA is filed under the name Keratinophyton fluviale. Its description in RNAcentral is "sequence contains 18S rRNA gene, ITS1, 5.8S rRNA gene, ITS2, 28S rRNA gene". The stretch from base 258 to 411 matches the Rfam family "5.8S ribosomal RNA". Lineage: Eukaryota; Fungi; Ascomycota; Eurotiomycetes; Onygenales; Onygenaceae. The record is from RNAcentral.
UCGUAACAAGGUUUCCGUAGGUGAACCUGCGGAAGGAUCAUUACAGUGUUCUGGAGGCCGGUCCGUCCCGCUCCCCUUCGGGGGCCCGGUGGGGUCCGCGCCCCCUCCACACGUGUCUACCACACCCUGUUGCCUUGGUGGGUCUGCCCCUGUGGCUGCCGGGGAUCGCCGCUGGCGUCCCGGGCCCGUAUCCACCGAUGGACACCCUGAACCCUCUGUGAAUCUAGUAUGUCUGAGCGUUAAAGCAAAUGAAACAAAACUUUCAACAAUGGAUCUCUUGGUUCUGGCAUCGAUGAAGAACGCAGCGAAAUGCGAUAAGUAAUGUGAAUUGCAGAAUUCCGUGAAUCAUCGAAUCUUUGAACGCACAUUGCGCCCUCUGGUAUUCCGGGGGGCAUGCCUGUUCGAGCGUCAUUGCAACCCCUCAAGCCCGGCUUGUGUGAUGGGCCAUCGUCCCCCUGUGGACGGGCCCGAAAUGCAGUGGCAGCACCGCACCGGUGUCUGAGUGUAUGGGCAUCUGUCACCGCUCAAUGGACCCGGUCGGCGCUCGCCGUGACCAAAACAUAUUCAUCCGUUUUGACCUCGGAUCAGGUAGGAAUACCCGCUGAACUUAAGCAUAUCAAUAA